CAUGCUAAUUAUAAAUAACGUGGAGUCUCUAGUGUUUUGGCAUUCAGAAGUCUAUCUCUUCUUUCUUACAUUCAUAUCUAGAUUGUCCAAUUUCUUUCUUUCUUUCCUUGUUAGGACAAGUCCAAAUAUAGCAAGGGCAAGUCUGAUUUAGGUUAAAGAUUUAGGAAGAUAGUAAAGGAAGAUAAAGAGAUAGCAAAGAUAGAGAAAAUUAAGGCA
Molecule: long non-coding RNA, 216 nt
Filed under: Elaeis guineensis (African oil palm)
Lineage: Eukaryota; Viridiplantae; Streptophyta; Magnoliopsida; Arecales; Arecaceae
Description: long non-coding RNA (EGUI_LNC065287)
Source: RNAcentral